This is a long non-coding RNA of Hibiscus syriacus, 351 nucleotides long. RefSeq lists it as uncharacterized. The record is from RefSeq and is a predicted model, not a curated record. Lineage: Eukaryota; Viridiplantae; Streptophyta; Magnoliopsida; Malvales; Malvaceae. The transcript is spliced from 3 exons.
UUGCUCCAACUGCUAUGGAUAAGUUCGCACACACUGAAGGUUGGAACUUCAUAGGCUCUCCUUUUCUCCUAUUUCAAGUACCAAUUUUACUAUUUUGAUUGUGUUCUUAACAGGUGAGGUUGCCACAGCUAGAGCAGCUGCUGCAUGUAAUACAAUAAUGAUUUUAUCCUACAGGUCGAGUUGUACCAUUGAGGAGGUUGCUUCGAGCUACAAUGGUGUUCGGUUCUUCCAGAUAUAUGUAUACAAGAAGCGAGAUAUAACAGCUACUCUAGUGCAGAGAGCUGAAAGAUGUGGAUACAAGGCCAUCGUCGUAACGGUUGAUACUCCUAGACUUGGUCGAAGUGAGAAAGA